ACCUCUUUCCUCUUAAUAUAUAUUUAAAAGGUCUCACUCCAUAAAUCAUUUCUCAGCCACUAGUUGUUAUUUAUUUUUCAGCCACUAGUUGUUAUUUAUUUUUCGUCUGGGAUAUUUUUGGCUUGGACUCAUCAUUCUAGUCUACUAAUUUCACUCUAAACUAAGGAUUUCGUGACCGUCUACACGUAUUCGGUUAUCUCAGUUUUGUGAUCAUCGCUUAAGGUUAUCAAGACAAUCUGGGACGGGAUAUAGAAGAGUGCUCGAGUAUAUGAAAAAGACCGUAGAAAUAAUGUACUGGAUUAGAUAUCCUAUUUCCAUUAAGUUGUAAAGCCUUGUAAUACAUUUAAGUAUUAAUGGAAUUAUGUUUUUGAUC
Molecule: long non-coding RNA, 373 nt
Organism: Helianthus annuus (common sunflower)
Lineage: Eukaryota; Viridiplantae; Streptophyta; Magnoliopsida; Asterales; Asteraceae
Exons: 3
Source: RefSeq, a predicted model, not a curated record